UCAUAUUCUAUAUAUGCCACUAUCUACCACCAACACCACUAUCAUAAUAUAUACAUACCACUAUCUUAUUAUAUACAUUAACACAAAUUUCCAGCAGUAAGUCUUAAAUGUUUCAGUAUGUUUUUCAGGUUGACAUUUUCAGGGACGCAGCAGACCAUAUGGUGAACUACAUUGACCAAAUUUGGACCCAAGGCUUUGAGAUUGACUACUUAAGCAUUUGUUGUCGACUGGGCAUGGAUCAUUAUCAUGCUGUCACUAUACUUCUCACACUCAGAAAUCAAAUUGACACUGUACUAAGGGUGCUUUUUCUAGUCUAGGCAUGCAGAACCCAUGCAGUUGAUGUGGUCUGCGUGAUAAGAAGGUACUGAUGAAAUUCAGCUGUGAUUUUGCUUCCAACUAUAUUACGGCUCAGUGAACACUUUGCUUAAUGGGGUGGUUACUUCAACGAGCAUUUAUAGGCUACAUGGAUCCAUUUUUUUCAUUUGGUUCCAUUUGCAUCUCUUUUGCCAAAUUAUCAAUUCCAGGAGGUAAUUGAAGACCAUGUGAGAUACUUUGAGCUAGGGUCUUUCAUUUUUUCCAAAUGUUGACUGAGUCUACCACCACUUCUACUGGGAGGAAAAAUUGAGUUAAUAAGGACAACAGUAGACUUAGAUCUUCUCUCUUUGAGAAGGGGAGAAGGCUUCAUUAAUAACCUUGGCAUGGAAAGGAGUAUUACAGAUGAGCGAGCACUCUAUCAUCAGCGACACUGUUAUUGGAAUCUUACAUUGUUUCUCUCCUAAAGAUGCUGACAGAUAAGCUAUAUAGUGGACUACAGGAAAUGACAAUUGUGCAAAGUUUGCUGUGAACAGUGGGACUUGAGCUACACUCUUAAGCUGCUUGGUUCAUGGAUUUGGAUAGGGAUUAGGAAAAGGAAAGGGAAAAUGUGUGUGAAAUAUAGCUAUAUUUCAUUCACAUUCCACCUACUUUUUUCCUUUCCUUUUCUAAAUCCCUAUCCAAAUCUAUGAACCAAACGCAACAUUAAGCUUAUUAUUGAAGAAGGAAUUACUAGUGGAAAGAGUUGUAGAGCAUUUUCAGUGAGGUGUUGACACCUCUCUCAAGAAGCAAAGGCAACCAUACCUCCUGUGAAUUUGACUCAAAUUGAAAGGACUUUACCCUGGCUAGCCAAAAAAGCAAAGGUUUUAAUCUUUAGAAGAGACUCACACUUCCAUAUCCAGUCUUCUAAUUAGGCUCACUGGACAUAUCAUUGUUGAUAAUGAGGUCAUGAAAGUAGUUUUUGGAGCUAAAUAUGCCAUUAGAAUUCAGGCCUCAGGCCAUUGAUGAUUCAAUUAGUAGUUGAAAAUGAUCUCAUUUUGGUGAUUGGAAUCCUUACACAAAAUGGCUAUAGAUUUGUUAGUAUCCACUUUUUUGUUUUUAUUUUUUGAGUUUAUUUAUUUAUCUAUUUUUGAGAUACUUGACAACUUUAUCGCCGCAUAAGUAAAUAACAAAAUUAUUGGGAAAA
Non-coding RNA from Camellia sinensis, 1498 nucleotides. Lineage: Eukaryota; Viridiplantae; Streptophyta; Magnoliopsida; Ericales; Theaceae. The record is from RefSeq and is a predicted model, not a curated record.